UUUAUUCGUUUCAGCUGUUUUUGUUCUGCUCUUAUAAACGCAUGCAUCUUCCAAUUCUUUAUGACGAGAAUCAUCAUACUUUGCAAUAUUUGUGGUAAAAUGUUCUACAUAGUCAACCAUUCGAAGCGCUCGGUAUGACUUUUCAGGAUUAGAUCUAUAUGAUGUCAAUUUUUGAAUGGUGCGGGCGUUGUUGCCCGCGCUACCGUAUUAAAUGAACGUCAAGGUGAAGUUGUAAAUUGGUAAUCAGUAAUUAGUUUACUGAUUGGUGUCGCAGUUAACGAAUUCGUUAGCAACUGUUGUCCCUCUCCUAUUUCGGCGAUUUCUGCUAUUAAUCACCGUACAUGUUACACGGGCAUUCGUCGCAAAUGAGACUUGCCCACAGGCAAAAUUUCAACUAAAGAAUCAGUAUGAAGUAUAUAUUACCUACGUUCUUCCUUUGGCUUUAAUUUAAAUUGUCAGUUUAGUUUACAUUAAUAGUGUUAUGUCGAGAAUCAUAACAGAAAUUACCACACAGUACCAUAGGAGUUCAUGUUUAGAAUAUGGAUUCUAAACACUUUUUUUACGCCUUCACAAGUAUCUGAACCACAAUGUAAGUCAGUCGAUGUAGCGAUAAUUCGAAAUAUCAGUGAAAAGGGAACUGGAAAAGUUGUCACAUCGUCUUUACACAGUCUUCGUCAGAAGUAAGACACAGUUCCCAUUUGGAUUAGUGGAUGCUGCAUGUACCCAGCCACAUCUAGAAGAGAUAAUCGCGAAGAUUCAAAAUGACUCUUGAAGAAUUCCCAGAGCCAUAGUUGAUAAUAAAGUGUGCAAAAUGAGUAUUGGUACAGUGCGUAACUGAAGACAUUAUGUAAUUAGAAAGGGAUGAUAAAUAAAUGUGAACUAUACUGUAAUUGAAUAACGAAAAUUCCAUUCUGAUCUUUCAUCCUAUUUCCCCAAAAUUUUCUGCCAUAUAUUUAAUGAUAAAGGCCUGCUAGAUUCUCGUACUCAUCACUGUAUCCCUCCCACCUUUAAUGUUGGUUGUGAUGACAGACUGACCUGUAGCUAAGCCCAAGGUCUAGGUUAGGUCGGAAACUUGCGUGUUUUAAGAUUGAUGAUGUGCACGUCAAAACAGUGGAAUGUACUGAUCUUACUGUUACAGGUUGAAAUUGGAAAUUGUACUAACGGAAAAUUUUGAGAUACAGACAAAAGUUUAGCUGAGUAUUGUACUGUUGCAAAAAAUAUCCGCCUUUUGAAUAGAGCUGUUAAACAUUUGCACGAGAUGCGAGAGCCUUCUGUUGCAUGCCGUGAGCCACAGCCACAGCACAAUCAUCAAGAGCGGCCUCCCACAAAAAGAAGGAAAGGUACAACAAAUGACGUUGUGGAGGCCACCAGGACACUGAAGGCUGUGGCUGAUACGGCCGGAACUCUGCCCCAGCCUGUCCAAGGAGACCAAUACAGUGCCCUUGCCACCCACAUCGCAGCUGAACUGUGUGAGAUGGAUAAUGUGGGUAGUAAGAAAUUUACAACUGCCGGAAGUCACGGUUUGCAGUGGUAUUUGAUGGACGGGUGGGAUUUGCUGCAUUUGACAACACAACAAGCACGACCAUCCACCUCUGGGUAUAUCCAGGCUGCCUUGCAGCAGGCUGGUAUAGAAGAGAAUACCGUAUAAUUUUUUUGUAGCUCUCCAAUCUUC
This 1672-nucleotide long non-coding RNA is filed under the name Schistocerca americana (American grasshopper). RNAcentral's name for it is "uncharacterized LOC124553708". The record is from RNAcentral. Lineage: Eukaryota; Metazoa; Arthropoda; Insecta; Orthoptera; Acrididae.